ACUAGCUGACGAGUCCUAAAUAGGACGAAAUGCGCAUCCAGAGU
This 44-nucleotide non-coding RNA is filed under the name Trichobilharzia regenti. Lineage: Eukaryota; Metazoa; Platyhelminthes; Trematoda; Strigeidida; Schistosomatidae. The record is from RNAcentral.